GACGAAGAUCAACAACGGAAUUCGGACAAAGAAACACGCGCGUUAGAUACAGAGCGAGAGAUUUAUGUGGAUGCAAUCCUCUUCCGGAAAAUGCAUCGCACCGUAGAUAUUCUCCUGCCAAAAUGCCACGUCGUAUGUAUGUACAUUGAUUGAAUCUACAUGUAAAUCGACGGAAUAAGCUGCUUUCCCGAUAGAGUCAAGAGGAGGGUUUAGGAGAAGGGGGUGGCACGAAGGAGACUUAGCGAGAAAGAGAAAGAGAGAGAGAGUUAGAAGAUCGCCCAAAGGCGGAAGCGGAAGUGAGAGGGAAGACGCGCACGCAGACCGAGCGUAAGCCAUAAGCGUGUGACAGGUCAAUAUUAACUCUGACGUCGACAGCCACCCCUGCCGAUACACGUGAAUUCACGUUCGAUAUCCGGCGGAAGUAAUCGAGUUCCGCGGAUGGACCGAAUUCACGCGCAAACCAGACGCGCCUGUUCCCUGGAAUCCGGUUCGAGGAUAGUCUGGUAUUCCUGCUAAAUCAUUCCAUUUGAGCCUGCGACGAAUAAUGGUAAGAGCUGUCGCAUUAUUGCACAAGAUGCCCAUUUUUCCUUACAAUUAGUUACAGUGACACAACGCCACAAACAACACCGUUAAUUAUAUGGGUAUAUAUCAGCAAUUAUAUAAUUAUAUACAUAUUUCUGAAAAGUAUUCGCGACUAACUCUGUAUGUUAAUUAAUAGAUAUGUAUUAAUAGAUAUGUAUUAAUACAUAAAUUAAAAUAAAAUAAAGUGCAUGUAAAGCAAGAGAUGUUAAUGCUCAAA
Long non-coding RNA from Ooceraea biroi (clonal raider ant), 799 nucleotides. RefSeq lists it as uncharacterized. Lineage: Eukaryota; Metazoa; Arthropoda; Insecta; Hymenoptera; Formicidae. The record is from RefSeq and is a predicted model, not a curated record.